Molecule: ribosomal RNA, 480 nt
Filed under: uncultured bacterium
Lineage: Bacteria
Description: partial 16S ribosomal RNA
Rfam family: Bacterial small subunit ribosomal RNA
Source: RNAcentral
GACGAACGCUGGCGGCGUGCUUAACACAUGCAAGUCGAACGAUGAAGAAAAGAAUUGAAGCUUCGGCAGAAAUUCAUUUCGGAUUAGUGGCAGACGGGUGAGUAACGCGUGAGCAACCUACCUCUUACAAAGGGAUAGCCUCGGGAAACCGGGAUUAAUACCAUAUAACAUUGCGACGAAGCAUUUCGAUGCAAUCAAAGCUACGGCGGUAAGAGUUGGGCUCGCGUCCCAUUAACCAGAUGGUGAGGUAACGGCUCACCAUAGUAACGAUGGGUAACCGGCCUGAGAGGGUGAACGGUCACACUGGAACUGAGACACGGUCCAGACUCCGACGGGAGGCAGCAGUGGGGAAUAUUGCACAAUGGAGGGAACUCUGAUGCAGCGACGCCGCGUGAGUGAUGAAGGAAUUCGUUUCGUAAAACUCUGUUCUAUGGGAAGAAAAGGACUGUACCAUAGGAGAAAGCUCCGGCUAAAUACGUG